UACGUAGGUGGCGAGCGUUGUCCGGAUUCAUUGGGCGUAAAGCGCGCGCAGGUGGUGCGGUAAGUCUGUCGUGAAAUCUCCCGGCUCAACUGGGAGGGUGCGGUGGAGACUGCCGGACUGGAGGCACUCAGAGGCCGGUGGAAUUCCCGGUGUAGUGGUGAAAUGCGUAGAGAUCGGGAGGAACACCAGUGGCGAAGGCGGCCGGCUGGGGGUGACCUGACGCUGAGGCGCGAAAGCGUGGGGAGCGAACGGG
RNAcentral lists this ribosomal RNA (253 nucleotides) under uncultured bacterium. RNAcentral's name for it is "partial 16S ribosomal RNA". It matches the Rfam family "Bacterial small subunit ribosomal RNA", at positions 524 to 776 of the family's 1533-position model. The record is from RNAcentral.